UGGGCCAGCUCUCAAUGCAAAUGUGUGGGCUUAUGGGAUAGAGCUUCCUGGCAGCCAAUGAGAAAAAGGAAAUAACUCGGUUACAUGCUUCACAAGAUCUAAGAGUUAACAGUAAAGCAUAUGAUCAGAAGACACCUGGCUGAUAGAGGCUGGGAUCACAAGAUCUCCCAAGAGGAGAUCCAAAGCCACACAGCACCAUGAACCCAAGAUCCCACACCUCACAAAACCCAAAGACCAGUUUCCUAGGGCUACGUGUUGGAGCAGCCUUCAGAAUUAGCAGUCUGAAGAAAGAGUGACCAUGCAGGGAUGGUGACCAGGCCUAGGCCACAACAACCCUCAGGAAAGGUUCACAGGUGUGGCGUAAGUCCCACCCGCAGGGCCCUCAGCUUUAGGGGAAGGAAGCAACUUCUGUCAGGUGUCUGAUGGCCUGGGAGCAAAGCCUGCUGUGGAGUGAGUGACUGUCCUCCUGUGCUGACACAAGGGCCUAUUGUACAGGAACCUGAGAGGAGAGAUGAGUCAGAAGGCUGGUCCCUGUCUCAGCCAGGCCAGCCUGUGGGAGGCGGAACUACUGCCCAGCACUAGACGGAAAGGCCCUGGUUUCCUGUCCCUCCCCAACUCCUCAGCCCAGCCACAGCCCUUCCAGUCAGAAGAGUACUGAGGCCCCACCCAUUGGAUCCCAGCUUGGACUGGGCUUCAGUCAUCCUCCCAAAUUCACAGAUGAUAAAAUAUCAACAGGAGCCUGAGUACCCGCAGCCAUCGCCCAGCUGCCAUCUGGCAGAGAGACGACCUGUUCCUUCGUCCUUAGAGCCUGGUCUCCAGCCACCUGCAUGAGGCCCAGCUGCCCUGUGUGUGUGCAAGAGAUGGGGUUGGGACAGUAAGAAGAGGAUGGGGCACCAGGGAUCACCUGAGUCUUGAGGCUCAGGUGGGAUGGAACCGACCCAGAAAUGACUAUGAAACUGAACACCACAAAGAGUGGUGCUCCCUAAUGAGGAGCAGAAAGGCCCAAACAAGUGGAAAGCAAAUCCAGCAAAACACCAGCUAGUCUACACUGAGGCGAGGAUACCCAUUCAACUGCAAUGACCCAAACCCUGGUGGCAACCACAGAGCUUAAGCUCCAGGCCACACCUAAGAACAACCAGGACACCAGAGGGCAGAUACAGUGAGCACCAAGCACUGGAACCAAUGAAGUCGCCCCAGAUAGGCUAGAGAUGCUCAUGACCUGACUAUCCACCCUCAGCCCAUUAUCUACUGACAAAAUCAGAUUCUGGUGGUGUCGCCCCGCUGGGGACAGGCUGCCUGUGGCUUCCAGCCCUGGUAUGUAAAUAGACCUGGCUCUCUCAGUGCCUCCCAGGAUUCACCCUUUCCUAUUGAAUGACAAGAACAAAGAUGACCACAAGAGGAUGUGUCCCUGUUACCUUCUCUACUCCAACUUUAGGCUCUGGUAAGAGUUACGACCUAGAAGUUAUGGCCCAGGAAUGUAGCAAUAGUCUGCAGGCAUAGAUCAUCAGAGAAUGACUUGCUGACUACAAAGUGUGGACUGAAUGGCAGGGCUUAGGCUCAAGGCCUGGAGAGUCAACCUCGCCCCCGGAGCUAGUACCAAAGACAUGCCAGCUUGUCUCAUUUGCUGCCUCUCAGAUACCGUGACCUGGACGGUAUCGCCACCUGGACUGGUCUCGAGCCAACCCCCCCACCAAGAUCAGGGACGACCAGCAAGCAAUGAAAGUUUGUAGCUCCUGCAGGGGUCCAAGACCCAAGGGCAUAUCCACCCCCUCCUUUCCUCACCAGUUCCCUACAGACCCAAGAGGGCUGGGGAAUAGACCAGGUUGGAAGCUUGA
Molecule: long non-coding RNA, 1835 nt
Organism: Mastomys coucha (southern multimammate mouse)
Lineage: Eukaryota; Metazoa; Chordata; Mammalia; Rodentia; Muridae
Exons: 2
Source: RefSeq, a predicted model, not a curated record